Molecule: long non-coding RNA, 811 nt
Organism: Acipenser ruthenus (sterlet)
Lineage: Eukaryota; Metazoa; Chordata; Actinopteri; Acipenseriformes; Acipenseridae
Exons: 5
Source: RefSeq, a predicted model, not a curated record
AGUCUGUGCCACAGGUGGAGCCAACUUUGGCUAAUUUGACAAGCUAACGAAUUCCGAAAGGAAUGGAGUCUUCUAAUAAGCUCGGGGCCCGACAUUAAGGACGGAACGCACAGUGCUGGCGAGAAAAGGAGGCGUCUGUCUGGCUGCUGAUGUCUGUAUAGAAACCUGACCUAGCCCCUAGCUUGUGUCCCGUCUAUAAACACAGCGUAUCGGACACUUCACUCAGUGACCACGGGGAGAGGAGAGAGAGAGCGAGAGAGGGAGAGAGAGAGAGGAAAGGGAGAGAGGAACACGCCAAAGAAAUUCGAUCCAUUAUCGAUCUAGCAAUGAGGCUUGCAGAAGGAUUCCCUCCCACCUCCCACCCCUCCCAAAAAAAAAACAACAACGCGGCCUGCACUCCACACAGCAUUGCCCCGCCGUUACAGGACAUCCACGCAGGACGUGUUGUUCAUUCAUGAUCAUACAGCGCUGUGAAGUAACUGGCAUGCUAUUAAUCAAAGGAGAAUGAAACUUUUCGUUCUGUUACUCGUUCAUCAUGAUGGUAGUUUUGAAAUACACCUGGCAUCGACAGAGAGAGACAUCCCUCACGCUGACAGCACUCCGUGUGUACAGAGCCGCCUCAAACAGCACGCAGAGGAGUGAACGGCAACAGCGCUUUACAAGAAUCACAACCGUCUCUGUUUCCACGCAGGGUGCACAGAGAAACUCAAGCUAACGCACGCAGCUGCCAUAGCUCGCAAUGUGUGUUUUAUUGAAAUAAAUGUGAUAUUUUAAAUAAGGGUGCAUGCCAGUGUUUCAGUUAUGACAUAAA